AAGAUGAGCCCAUGGCCCAUCAGCUAGUUGGUAGGGUAAAGGCCUACCAAGGCUACGACGGGUCGCUGGUCUGAGAGGACGACCAGCCACACUGGCACUGAGAUACGGGCCAGACUCCUACGGGAGGCAGCAGUGAGGAAUAUUGCGCAAUGGGGGGAAACCCUGACGCAGCAACGCCGCGUGUGGGAAGAAGGCCUUCGGGUCGUAAACCACUUUUGCACGGGACGAAAAAGGGAUAUCGAACAAA
This 247-nucleotide ribosomal RNA is filed under the name uncultured bacterium. RNAcentral describes it as "partial 16S ribosomal RNA". It matches the Rfam family "Bacterial small subunit ribosomal RNA", at positions 222 to 464 of the family's 1533-position model. The record is from RNAcentral.